RNAcentral lists this ribosomal RNA (165 nucleotides) under Elongatopedicellata sp. Its description in RNAcentral is "partial large subunit ribosomal RNA". It matches the Rfam family "Eukaryotic large subunit ribosomal RNA", at positions 99 to 261 of the family's 3401-position model. The record is from RNAcentral. Lineage: Eukaryota; Fungi; Ascomycota; Dothideomycetes; Pleosporales; Thyridariaceae.
CGGCAAGAGCUCAAAUUUGAAAUCUGGUUCUUUCAGAGCCCGAGUUGUAAUUUGUAGAGGGUGCUUUGGCAGCAGUUCCGGUCUAAGUUCCUUGGAACAGGACGUCACAGAGGGUGAGAAUCCCGUACGUGGUCGCGGAUUGCUGCUAUGUAAAGCCCCUUCGAC